GAUGAACGCUGGCGGCGUGCUUAACACAUGCAAGUCGAACGAUGAAGCCCAGCUUGCUGGGUGGAUUAGUGGCGAACGGGUGAGUAACACGUGAGUAACCUGCCCUUGACGCUGGGAUAAGCGCUGGAAACGGCGUCUAAUACCGGAUACGAGCUUCCACCGCAUGGUGAGUUGCUGGAAAGAAUUUCGGUCAAGGAUGGAGUCGCGGCCUAUCAGGUAGUUGGUGAGGUAACGGCUCACCAAGCCGACGACGGGUAGCCGGCCUGAGAGGGUGACCGGCCACACUGGGACUGAGACACGGCCCAGACUCCUACGGGAGGCAGCAGUGGGGAAUAUUGCACAAUGGGCGCAAGCCUGAUGCAGCAACGCCGCGUGAGGGACGAAGGCCUUCGGGUCGUAAACCUCUUUUAGCAGGGAAGAAGCGAAAGUGACGGUACCUGCAGAAAAAGCACCGGCUAACUACGUG
Molecule: ribosomal RNA, 466 nt
Filed under: uncultured bacterium
Lineage: Bacteria
Description: partial 16S ribosomal RNA
Rfam family: Bacterial small subunit ribosomal RNA
Source: RNAcentral